UCUUGGUGGUCGUAAAGGAGGGAGA
RNAcentral lists this non-coding RNA (25 nucleotides) under Cricetulus griseus (Chinese hamster). Lineage: Eukaryota; Metazoa; Chordata; Mammalia; Rodentia; Cricetidae. The record is from RNAcentral.